This is a long non-coding RNA of Sapajus apella (tufted capuchin), 1096 nucleotides long. RefSeq lists it as uncharacterized. The record is from RefSeq and is a predicted model, not a curated record. Lineage: Eukaryota; Metazoa; Chordata; Mammalia; Primates; Cebidae. The transcript is spliced from 2 exons.
AUGAUGGCGCUGCACUCCAGCCUGCGCGACAGAGUAAAACGUCUCAGAAAACAAAAGUCUCAGGGCUGCAUCCUGGCCAUGGUGCAGAGGCAUCCAGUAAGCGUCCUUGAAUCUAGGAGCCACCAGGAGGACUCCCCCUGGACUUUGCUGUCAGGCUUGUUCCACUGUAGAGCUGUGCUCAUUUCUUCCCGUCAUGAGCAGCUGGGCUGGGGGCCUCAGGGUGAGGACCAUGUCCCCACCCACCUCCUCUUUAGCAGGGCAACGGUGAGUAUUCCCAGUAUUCACACCCCUCACACUAGCAGCCAGGAGCCAGUUCUUGACUUAUGGCCAAGAAAAUCACUUGUUUCCUGGCGUGGCUGUGGCCUGGGAUGCCCCAUAUUCAGGGGCAGCCACUUCCUCCUGCCCACCCCUUCUAACUCUGCCCAACAAAUGGGAUGAGUGUCCCUGCUCCACUGGCUGCUCUUCCUCUUUCCCCAAAUGGUUUAUUUUGCUAGAAUAGUCUUUUCCUACCAACUCUGAGCUUGAUGCAGACACUUACCUAAGUCUUCAUCUCAGAGUGGAGCCAGGGCAAAAGAGGAAUUCAAGCGGGAACGAGGAAUCCGAGAACAUGCGACUGCUGGAUGGAACAAGCGAAGCUUCAUCAGUCCCCAAACUGAUGAGCCCGCAUGCAGCUCUGUCCAAAAUGUGCUGAGAACACCAACGCUCCACCGUCCCGUACCAUUCAUUACACUGCAGGGAGGAACCAAGAAUCUCUUUCCUUAAUCUGGUAUCUCAGCUAAGCAGGGCACUCUUCCCAGAACCUUGCCAGAGUCCAGUUUUCUGCAUUCUGUGUUUGUUCUCCCUUCAUUAUGAACCCUGAGCAGAUGAAGCUAUUUUUUCCCCUUUCGAUUUCUUAGUAACUAGGCCAAGUACAAGGCUCACGGGGGGAUUGAAUAAAUACUGAAAACUUGCCUGCAAGAGGCAACAUUCUUCUCAGUUGUUGAGGUCGUCACGGGCCAGGCUUCAAUUGGUUCUUCCCACCCCUACUCCAUUCCUUCUCAAAAGCAAAACCCCUGUAACUCGAUCAAGACUGUUGAAGGCAAGGGAAAAAAAAAAA